AACGCUGGCGGCGUGCUAACACAUGCAAGUCGAACGAAGCAUCCCUCCCGAAGAAGCGGAAGUGCUUGCACAGAAGUGGAUUCAUUGGGAUGACUAGUGGCGGACGGGUGAGUAACGCGUGGGCAACCUGCCCUAUAGAGGGGGGACAACAGUUAGAAAAUGACUGCUAAUACCGCAUAGUAAUGCAGAUCCGCAUGCUUCUGCAUUGAAAGCUUUUGCGCUAUAGGAUGGGCCCGCGUUUGAUUAGCUAGUUGGUGAGGUAACGGCCCACCAAGGCGACGAUCAAUAGCCGGCUUGAGAGAGUGAACGGCCACAUUGGGACUGAGACACGGCCCAAACUCCUACGGGAGGCAGCAGUGGGGAAUAUUGCACAAUGGGGGGAAACCCUGAUGCAAGCGACGCCGCGUGAGUGAAGAAGUAUUUCGGUAUGUAAAGCUCUAUCAGCAGGAAAGAUAAUGACGGUACCUGACUAAGAAGCCCCGGCUAACUACGUGCCAGCCGCCGC
This 505-nucleotide ribosomal RNA is filed under the name uncultured bacterium. Its description in RNAcentral is "bacterial SSU rRNA". It matches the Rfam family "Bacterial small subunit ribosomal RNA", at positions 32 to 518 of the family's 1533-position model. The record is from RNAcentral.